GUGCUCCCGUUGGCAGCACUUAUAUUAAAACUGGAAAAAUACGGAGAAGAUCAGCAUGGCUCCUGCACAGGGACGACAUGCAAAUUCAUGAAGUGCUGCAUAUUUUU
Small nuclear RNA from Pteronotus mesoamericanus, 107 nucleotides. The record is from RefSeq and is a predicted model, not a curated record. Lineage: Eukaryota; Metazoa; Chordata; Mammalia; Chiroptera; Mormoopidae.